UACGAAGGGGGCUAGCGUUGCUCGGAAUUACUGGGCGUAAAGCGCACGUAGGCGGAUUGUUAAGUCGGGGGUGAAAUCCUGGAGCUCAACUCCAGAACUGCCUUCGAAACUGGCGAUCUUGAGUCCGGGAGAGGUGAGUGGAACUGCGAGCGUAGAGGUGAAAUUCGUAGAUAUUCGCAAGAACACCAGUGGCGAAGGCGGCUCAGUGGCCCGGUACUGACGCUGAGGUGCGAAAGCGUGGGGAGCAAACAGG
Molecule: ribosomal RNA, 253 nt
Filed under: uncultured bacterium
Lineage: Bacteria
Description: partial 16S ribosomal RNA
Rfam family: Bacterial small subunit ribosomal RNA
Source: RNAcentral